This 482-nucleotide ribosomal RNA is filed under the name uncultured bacterium. RNAcentral describes it as "partial 16S ribosomal RNA". It matches the Rfam family "Bacterial small subunit ribosomal RNA", at positions 30 to 506 of the family's 1533-position model. The record is from RNAcentral.
AUUGAACGCUGGCGGCAGGCCUACACAUGCCAGUCGAGCGGAUGAAGGGAGCUUGCUCCUGGAUUCAGCGGCGGACGGGUGAGUAAUGCCUAGGAAUCUGCCUGGUAGUGGGGGAUAACGUCCGGAAACGGGCGCUAAUACCGCAUACGUCCUGAGGGAGAAAGUGGGGGAUCUUCGGACCUCACGCUAUCAGAUGAGCCUAGGUCGGAUUAGCUAGUUGGUGGGGUAAAGGCCUACCAAGGCGACGAUCCGUAACUGGUCUGAGAGGAUGAUCAGUCACACUGGAACUGAGACACGGUCCAGACUCCUACGGGAGGCAGCAGUGGGGAAUAUUGGACAAUGGGCGAAAGCCUGAUCCAGCCAUGCCGCGUGUGUGAAGAAGGUCUUCGGAUUGUAAAGCACUUUAAGUUGGGAGGAAGGGCAGUAAGUUAAUACCUUGCUGUUUUGACGUUACCAACAGAAUAAGCACCGGCUAACUUCGU